This 253-nucleotide ribosomal RNA is filed under the name uncultured bacterium. Its description in RNAcentral is "partial 16S ribosomal RNA". It matches the Rfam family "Bacterial small subunit ribosomal RNA", at positions 524 to 776 of the family's 1533-position model. The record is from RNAcentral.
UACGGGGGGGGUAAGCGUUGUUCGGAAUUACUGGGCGUAAAGGGCUCGUAGGCGGCCAACUAAGUCAGACGUGAAAUCCCUCAGCUUAACUGGGGAACUGCGCCUGAUACUGGUUGACUUGAGUUUGGGAGAGGGACGCGGAAUUCCAGGUGUAGCGGUGAAAUGCGUAGAUAUCUGGAGGAACACCGGUGGCGAAGGCGGCGUCCUGGACCAAUACUGACACUGAGGAGCGAAAGCCAGGGGAGCAAACGGG